AGGACUGUUGAGCCCUUUUGGUGUUGCGAGUUGAAGUUCAAGGUUUCUAAAAUGUUGUCUUGUAUUGAAAGGAGCUAAUGCCAUUAUAAAUGUUACUAGUUUUCACAUUUCCUAAGCAGCCUAGAGUACAGGGUGAGCAUUUUUAGAUCUCCUAAUGAUGUAUUGUGCCGUGGAAGUACUGUGUGUGAAUAGCAGUAGUGGGGGCAAAAGCAAUCUUCUCAUUUGGAAAUGUUGUAAAUAAUUUUAUUAUAUAGUGUUUUGGAUGUAUUUGUUGUAGAAAUGGACCAGUGAAUAAAGAGAAUCUAAGGAUUUGUACAAUGUGAAAUAACGUGUUAAAUAAAUGUCAUUGUCAUAGAACAUAAAGUUAUGUUAUUGGUAAGGGAUUUUUGGGUGAUCAGCUCUUUCUUUGGACCUUAACUAAGCAGACACAGCCUUGUGGAUGGAAUUCCUAUCUAGUCCUCAUUGAACCUGAGAUGCCCGCCUGGCAAGUUGAGGAAAAUGUACAUACUUGCUCCCUCACCUCAUUCUUGGCUUUGAAGAAACUAGCCCUGUUCAGCACUGUGCCAGUUUCCCCAUCUGCAGAAUGGCUGGCUCCAUGCUCCCUUAACAUACCUCCCAGUCUCAACCUCAAGGCAUCGUGGUUUGUUUGUGUGAACUGCGCUUAAUGGCCCUGUCAGCAAGGAGGUGAUGAUCAGGACAGGAUUCACUUCAGAGAGAAGAGCAGCUGGUGCUCCCAUGAAGGACCAAAUGCUAUGUGUGGAGAGGGCCACAAGAGGAGGACCCAAGAGGGACCUCUACAAGCUGAGAGUUGAGAGUGGUCCCCUGCC
Molecule: long non-coding RNA, 827 nt
Filed under: Homo sapiens (human)
Lineage: Eukaryota; Metazoa; Chordata; Mammalia; Primates; Hominidae
Description: non-protein coding lnc-PIGU-1:2
Source: RNAcentral